CGACCCCAUCUCAUGCCCCGUACGCGGUGUGCAUGGACGGGGGUGAGGUGCGCCUCUUGAAAUGUCAAAACGACUCUCGGCAACGGAUAUCUCGGCUCUCGCAUCGAUGAAGAACGUAGCGAAAUGCGAUACUUGGUGUGAAUUGCAGAAUCCCGUGAACCAUCGAGUCUUUGAACGCA
Molecule: ribosomal RNA, 179 nt
Filed under: Sanchezia lutea
Lineage: Eukaryota; Viridiplantae; Streptophyta; Magnoliopsida; Lamiales; Acanthaceae
Description: 5.8S ribosomal RNA
Rfam family: 5.8S ribosomal RNA (bases 72-179)
About the family: 5.8S ribosomal RNA (5.8S rRNA) is a component of the large subunit of the eukaryotic ribosome. It is transcribed by RNA polymerase I as part of the 45S precursor that also contains 18S and 28S rRNA.
Source: RNAcentral